CGUAGCAAUACGUCAGCGGCAGACGGGUGAGUAACGCGUGGGAACGUACCUUUUGGUUCGGAACAACACAGGGAAACUUGUGCUAAUACCGGAUAAGCCCUUACGGGGAAAGAUUUAUCGCCGAAAGAUCGGCCCGCGUCUGAUUAGCUAGUUGGUGAGGUAACGGCUCACCAAGGCGACGAUCAGUAGCUGGUCUGAGAGGAUGAUCAGCCACAUUGGGACUGAGACACGGCCCAAACUCCUACGGGAGGCAGCAGUGGGGAAUAUUGGACAAUGGGCGCAAGCCUGAUCCAGCCAUGCCGCGUGAGUGAUGAAGGCCCUAGGGUUGUAAAGCUCUUUUGUGCGGGAAGAUAAUGACGGUACCGCAAGAAUAAGCCCCGGCUAACUUCGUGCCAGCAGCCGCGGUAAUACGAAGGGGGCUAGCGUUGCUCGGAAUCACUGGGCGUAAAGGGUGCGUAGGCGGGUCUUUAAGUCAGGGGUGAAAUCCUGGAGCUCAACUCCAGAACUGCCUUUGAUACUGAGGAUCUUGAGUUCGGGAGAGGUGAGUGGAACUGCGAGUGUAGAGGUGAAAUUCGUAGAUAUUCGCAAGAACACCAGUGGCGAAGGCGGCUCACUGGCCCGAUACUGACGCUGAGC
Molecule: ribosomal RNA, 636 nt
Filed under: Bradyrhizobium sp.
Lineage: Bacteria; Pseudomonadati; Pseudomonadota; Alphaproteobacteria; Hyphomicrobiales; Nitrobacteraceae
Description: bacterial SSU rRNA
Rfam family: Bacterial small subunit ribosomal RNA
Source: RNAcentral